This is a non-coding RNA of Poecilia reticulata (guppy), 672 nucleotides long. The record is from RefSeq and is a predicted model, not a curated record. Lineage: Eukaryota; Metazoa; Chordata; Actinopteri; Cyprinodontiformes; Poeciliidae.
CAUCCGGRCCCUGAGACAGGAGCUCCAUCCGGGCCCUAGGGGGCGCCAUCCUGACGCGGAGCUGCGGUUCUUCACCCGGUUCAAACUCAACGGUUACCUAGCAACCGAAUCGGUCUGAUCCAGAACCAGCAGGACUUUAGUGCUGCGUUGGUGCUGGUUCGGGCCGGAUGUUCUGGGUUCUGGACGGAAGUGGGACCUAAAGGAAGGCGUCAUACUGACCACAGCCAGCAGGUGGCCUCUGGUGGGCAGCCGGCGGUUAUGAGGGAUCUUCACUCGGUCUCUGGUCAGGUGAGACAGCUGGGAGUCGUCCACCGUCACCUAGAGGAGCAGAACCCGAGGCUCAGGUCAAACCGGGCCAAAUGGAAGGCGGUUCUGUUCUGGUUCUGCUGGUACCUCAUCCAGGAUCCGGUUCUUGGCUCUGGUGAUGGCUGUGUUCAGGACGUUGAUCCAGGAGUCCUUCUCCUCCGGGCUGACGGCCAGGAACACCUGGUUGGGCACCUGCAGSACAGGAGGCACCUGGUCAGGGGGCGGGGCUACUGUCCACAGUCCAGCUGAAGCUGCUUCACCUGGUUUGACCCCACCCACCUGAAUGAUGUCAUGAUGGACGCAGCGCCGUGCAGGUGACUUACUUCUAAUGCUAACUGCUGAUGCAACCAGCGCUGCACAAUAAAU